RNAcentral lists this ribosomal RNA (288 nucleotides) under Salmonella enterica subsp. enterica serovar Typhimurium. RNAcentral's name for it is "partial 16S ribosomal RNA". It matches the Rfam family "Bacterial small subunit ribosomal RNA", at positions 1246 to 1531 of the family's 1533-position model. Lineage: Bacteria; Pseudomonadati; Pseudomonadota; Gammaproteobacteria; Enterobacterales; Enterobacteriaceae. The record is from RNAcentral.
GCGACCUCUGCGAGAGCAAUCGUACCUCAUAAAUGUGCGUCGUAUUCCGGAUUGGAGUCUGCAACUCGACUCAAUGAAUUCGGAAUCGCUAGUAAUCGUGGAUCAGAAUGCCACGGUUGUAAUACGUUCCCGGGUCUUGUACACACCUGCCCGUCACACCAUGGGAGUGGGUUGCAAAAGAAGUAGGUAGCUUAACCUUCGGGAGGGCGCUUACCACUUUGUGAUUCAUGACUGGGGUGAAGUCGUAACAAGGUAACCGUAGGGGAACCUGCGGUUGGAUCACCUCCU